Parcubacteria group bacterium is the source of this 71-nucleotide non-coding RNA. The record is from Rfam.
GGGUCCAUCGUAUAAUGGUAGUACAAGGCACUCCAAACGCCUUAGCCUAGGUUCGAUUCCUAGUGGGCCCG